ACAAAAGUAAAUAAAAGACACCACUAUUGUCCAUAAGAUUCUUCAAAAACACAUAGCAAUGUUAAACAUUGAAACAAAACUAAAAAAGAAAAUAAUCAUGAAACUAAACAAUAACAUGUGUCCUUAGAGAUAAAAUUUAUACCUGGCACUUGAAGGGUAGGCACAGCCACUAACACCUGCUCAUCAAGAACAAAUACAAAGAAAGAACCGAUAAAAAGAGUUAGCUACAAUUAUUUUCAAAGAAAAACAAGAAAGAAAAGGUGAAAAUAAGUAUUUACUUGGAUCAGAUGUAACAACAGUAGCUGUUCCUGCAAAGUCACAAGCUAGUGCUUGUUGACCCUUCUUCUGGUAAUAGCUAUUCACAGCAUAGCUACAAUGAGCUCUAACGGUGUUUGGGUUGUAACAAGGAGCGUUUGUAUGAAGAGGGUUACAGUCAGCUCCAGCUCCACAAGCAUAGUCCAAGGUCUUUUGCAAGAUUGCAUCAGCUCCAUCCUUGCACACGCACCAAUUAGCACCUACAUAUGUCAAAGUUUGAGACAAACCAUGUUAAUAAUAGUACUAUGUUGAAAAUGUUGAUGUUUUUUUUGUGACAUUACUCAAACAAGUUAGAUAAGUGUCUCUUGUUUAAAGAUUCUGUGAGACAAAAAAUAGAUCCAGCAUUUGAAAAAUGAAAAGAAGGAAGAUCUGAAGAACUAGUUUGAAGGUAAAGUAGUUACUUGAAGGAAUGGCGGUGAAGGGAAAAAGAAGAAGUGCAAGUGCAAGAGUAGCAAAAGCCAUGAUGUUGUUAGGGUUAGAAGGGAAAGAUGAGUUAAUGGUGUGUGUUUUAGAUAGCAAUGAAAAACGUGGAAGAGCUAAAAGGUGAGGUUGAGUUGAGAGAGAGGAGUGGUGCGUGACAGAGAGAGUGAGGUGUGAGAAUAACAGGACAAAAAUAUAACAUAGAUUAGAGGGUGAGCAGAGGAGAAGGGAUUGGUGUGUGUAAGUAUGUAGUGUCUAGUAAGUAGUAAAGUUUUUGUAAACGGUGGGAUGAUUUGUUGGCCCCUUCAGUGUCGGCUUGGUUUGUCACUUGUGUCUACUUUUUGUACUUUUUUCAAUUUUCCCAUUAUUAAUCUUGGCCAUGUAAAAGUGUCAUAUGUUAUUAUGUAAUUUAUUUAUCUCACCGGUUACGCUAACAAGUGUUUUAAUAUAAUCUAUAUUAUAUUAUGG
This 1203-nucleotide long non-coding RNA is filed under the name Medicago truncatula (barrel medic). Its description in RNAcentral is "lncRNA gene26460". Lineage: Eukaryota; Viridiplantae; Streptophyta; Magnoliopsida; Fabales; Fabaceae. The record is from RNAcentral.